CCGCACAACCCCCCCCCCCCCCACACACACACACACGCUGGUGGCCCAGGCGCCGCCUCCAUGCUACCUCCCUCUCCCUUGGUCGUCGGUGGCCCAACACGACCUCCUCGAUACGGAUUCGGCGGGUCCCUUAUCACCGAGCUAGCCACUAUUACUGUUGUCACUGAUUUGAGCGUCUUCCGGUCCCGCCGUGUGCCGGUCUUCGUUGCGUUAUCUCAUUCCAGUUUUGUACGUUGUGGUGCUUCGGCCUUCGUGCCUCGGUUAUUGUUUGGCGUCACUAAUUUAGCCGUAUUCUGCUCUUGUUGUUUUCCAGGUCUGCGUGUCGGUGUGUCAUCUCGGCCUGCGUGUCAAAGUCAUGUCCCGGCCUACGUGCUGGUCUCGCAUCCCGGCCUGCGUGCCAAGCCCGUUUUCCUGUCUGUGUGUCGAGUUCGUGUCCCCGCCUGCGUGCCGUCAAUACCUCUCGGCCCGCGUGUCGGUACCUUAUCCCGGUCUGUGUGCCGGUAUUAUAUCCCGACCUGCCACUCGUCUUCCGGAUCCGUGCCUCGUUCAGCUUCUCGUCAUCAGAUCCAGCUCUCCAUCCUGAUCGGGCGUCGUCUACUCUUCCAGGUUCCGACAACUCGCACUGCGUCCCAUCCGAAGGCGCCCCCUGGGCCAAGGUACGUUCUCUGUUCAUAUUUCUAUGCAUAUUUCAUUAUUUUAUGGCUUAGUCUUGUACUCAUAUAUUCGUUGGAUCUGUCUCGAAUAUCGGGGUACCGGGGGCUGCGUCAACCCGGUCGCUGGCUGCAGGUAACGGUGACCAGAGGACUUUUGAAGACUUGGUCAACAUAAAAGUCAUCUCAGCACACUCUCCUCGGGACAUCACGACUCAAUCAACAUUCUCACCACCUCCCCCGACGAUCCAUCCUACUCAACUUCCGGAUCGGAUCAUCUGAUAUAAGAGUUAACUCAUGCGGAUGGAGGCUUCGCACUCCAAUUAAUUCAACUCUCUCUUUCUUGCUCGUUUUUGAAGUUCGACUCAAUCAACACAAAUACAGUUCACCAAUGGCUCACUCAUCGGCGGCGGCGACCGCCAGGAACACAUGAAAUUGUAUUCCUAUAC
Long non-coding RNA from Zingiber officinale, 1099 nucleotides. RefSeq lists it as uncharacterized. The record is from RefSeq and is a predicted model, not a curated record. The transcript is spliced from 2 exons. NCBI's taxonomy places the organism in Eukaryota, Viridiplantae, Streptophyta, Magnoliopsida, Zingiberales, Zingiberaceae.